AAAAAUGGAAGAGGAGGAAUUAAUGAAUGGAUCAGUUAACGGUGACCUUUCCGACCAUUCCAGCUCCUUGAUGGGGCGAACAGUAGAAAGAGUAGCUUCCUUUUUCAGUUAGCUGGACUUCGUACACCUGGCCGGGAGCAUUCAGAAGAUCUUCCUCACUCAUCGAGAUCUUUCCCGCGUCCACUCCGCUCGGGAUUUCGUCCUCAUCGAACACCACGUUGUGUGGGAAUCCCGCGUUGUUCUUGAACACGAUUUUCUCACCCGACGCCACCGAGAAAUCGUUCGGAACGAACGCCAGAGAUCCGUCGUUGCCGCCCAGCAAGAUCUCGAUGGCCAUGGCGUUUGAGGCCAGCAGGGCGGUGGCGGCGGUGGCUGCCACGGCCACGCCCACGUCCUUCAGAGAUGCUCUCAUGCUCAGCUUUGGGGUUGCAGGGGAGGAGACGCGGACGGCCGCGGUGGGUUUUGAUGUGGCGCCGGCGGACUUGAGGCCGGUGAAGGAGGGGAUGGCAACGGCGGCGGAGGUGACGGCGGCCAUGGGUGUAGUGUUAUGUAGUGUAAAG
RNAcentral lists this unclassified non-coding RNA (560 nucleotides) under Hevea brasiliensis (rubber tree). Lineage: Eukaryota; Viridiplantae; Streptophyta; Magnoliopsida; Malpighiales; Euphorbiaceae. The record is from RNAcentral.